UUUACCGAACGCUUCAGGACCCGACACAACCGCGGCCUCUGGAGUGGAAGGGAGCCCUGCGCGCCCGGGCAGAUACUCUCCGCGGCCACCAGAUGGCGAAGGCUGCUCGCCGCCCGGGGGAGAAAGGCUCGCGCGUCUUGGCGCGGAAUCCGCGGCGAGACUCCAAGGCCAAGGGCAAGGCGCUCCGCCAGUGCGCGGAAAGAUGCGGCGAGCCUAAAGUGACGGAAGUUGCUAUGGGAGUCCACAAGCUUAUGGGAGCAAGUUUAGGGCUUUUUAAGGAGGCCGGGGCGUGAGGGGAUUAAAGUGGGGGGGGGGGUGCGCGCCGUGUUGCCUAAAAUAAACAGUGACUCGCGCUCCGGGGUGGGUCCACGGAUCCCUCAGAAGCCCUUUGGGGACCAUCGCCCAGGGCCUGCUCUGUAUGUGGCGCAGCUAAUCCUUCCCCCGGGGAACUUGAUGCGCUUCUUUGGCCAAGCUCAAAGGAUUCCGAGGGCCAAGGAGAAAGGGGGGAAGGAGUAAAUGAAUCUCCAGGAGAGGAGGUUUAUUUUUCUUUUAAGCCGUAAUAAGGGGAAAUUCGGUGGCCAUCAAGCGCCUCCCGAUGAUGCCGGCAUCUCCGCGAGUGAAAGCCAAACUUUUCUUUUGGAGUCGGCGUGCAGUGGAGUGCGGGACCUUGCGGCGCGAACACGAGAAAAGGGAUGCGGCCGGCGUCCAGGCCAAUGGAAAAUGGGUGGCUUUAAUUCCUGCCCCUACUGGAGUCUCAAUUUCGAUUAAACUCAAGGGGCAUGCGA
Molecule: long non-coding RNA, 785 nt
Organism: Leopardus geoffroyi (Geoffroy's cat)
Lineage: Eukaryota; Metazoa; Chordata; Mammalia; Carnivora; Felidae
Exons: 2
Source: RefSeq, a predicted model, not a curated record